Molecule: ribosomal RNA, 434 nt
Filed under: uncultured bacterium
Lineage: Bacteria
Description: partial 16S ribosomal RNA
Rfam family: Bacterial small subunit ribosomal RNA
Source: RNAcentral
AGCGAACGCUGGCGGCAGGCCUAACACAUGCAAGUCGAACGAACCUUUCGGGGUUAGUGGCGGACGGGUGAGUAACACGUGGGAACGUGCCUUUAGGUUCGGAAUAACUCAGGGAAACUUGUGCUAAUACCGAAUGUGCCCUUCGGGGGAAAGAUUAAUCGCCUUUAGAGCGGCCCGCGUCUGAUUAGCUAGUUGGUUGAGGUAAUGGCUCACCAAGGCGACGAUCAGUAGCUGGUCUGAGAGGAUGAUCAGCCACAUUGGGACUGAGACACGGCCCAAACUCCUACGGGAGGCAGCAGUGGGGAAUCUUGCGCAAUGGGCGAAAGCCUGACGCAGCCAUGCCGCGUGAAUGAUGAAGGCCUUAGGAUUGUAAAAUUCUUUCACCGGGGACGAUAAUGACGGUACCCGGAGAAGAAGCCCCGGCUAACUUCGUG